UACGUAGGGACCAAGCGUUGUUCGGAUUUACUGGGCGUAAAGGGCGCGUAGGCGGCAAUUCAAGUCACUUGUGAAAUCUCUGAGCUUAACUCAGAACGGUCAAGUGAUACUGCUUUGCUAGAGUGCAGAAGGGGCAACCGGAAUUCUUGGUGUAGCGGUGAAAUGCGUAGAUAUCAAGAGGAACACCGGAGGUGAAGACGGGUUGCUGGGCUGACACUGACGCUGAGGCGCGAAAGCCAGGGGAGCGAACGGG
This 253-nucleotide ribosomal RNA is filed under the name uncultured bacterium. Its description in RNAcentral is "partial 16S ribosomal RNA". It matches the Rfam family "Bacterial small subunit ribosomal RNA", at positions 524 to 776 of the family's 1533-position model. The record is from RNAcentral.